This 135-nucleotide ribosomal RNA is filed under the name uncultured Acidobacteriota bacterium. RNAcentral's name for it is "uncultured Acidobacteria bacterium partial 16S ribosomal RNA". It matches the Rfam family "Bacterial small subunit ribosomal RNA", at positions 371 to 524 of the family's 1533-position model. The record is from RNAcentral. Lineage: Bacteria; Pseudomonadati; Acidobacteriota.
AUGGGCGCAGCCUGACGCAGCAACGCCGCGUGCGGGAUGAAGGCCUUCGGGUUGUAAACUGCUUUCGACCGGGACGAUUAUGACGGGACCGGAGGAAGAAACCCCGGCUAACUUCGUGCCCGCAGCCCCGGUAAU